Lates calcarifer (barramundi perch) is the source of this 1828-nucleotide long non-coding RNA. RefSeq lists it as uncharacterized. Lineage: Eukaryota; Metazoa; Chordata; Actinopteri; Centropomidae. The transcript has 3 exons. The record is from RefSeq and is a predicted model, not a curated record.
UUUUUGUGAUCCUGGAUCUGGGCUUGAAGGAGGUCUUCUGACCCAGAGAGAGCUGCUUCACAGAGGAUUCACUGCUGGAUUCUCAGGAUUUGCAGAUAAGGUUUGGGCUCAAGGUCUUCACCCAAAAAGACUUGGAAAUGAACUCCCCAAAUGCCAGACCUGAGCCAGACUUGUCUAUUAUUCAUCAGCGUUCAGACAGAGCAGAGUUUCCUGGGGAUUCAUGAACUGACGCUAAGAUGCAUCUGAAUGAGUUGAGCCAAGAUUCAGUGUGAAUCCAGGGUUUGGGCUCGAGGUCUUCACCCAAAAAGACCUGGAAGUCAACUCUCCCAGAAUGAAGAAAUGCCAGAUCAGAGCCAGACUGGUCUAUUAUUCAUCAGUGUUCAGGCAGAGCCGAGGCAACUUUUAGAGUGCAUCUGCCAACGAAUGCAAGAGAAAAACACAAGAAGACACAAGGUUUCCUGGGGUUUCAUGAACAGACACAAAGACACAUCUGAAUAAGUUGAGCCAAGAAUCAGUGUGAGUCCAGGUGGAGUCUCACCUUAUCCCUUCUUCCCUGUAUGGUUACAGCAGUAGUUUCUCUGUCUCUGAUGCUGAGAUCAUGGACUUCUAACCAGCCCACAGUGGUUUUGUUAUUUUCUAAUGUUUGGUGGCGCAUGCCAUAUAAUGAGACACAAAUCAACUCAGUUUCAUUUGCAUUGUUUCAGUGGCACAGAGGAAGGGUUUUGCUUAUAUAAAUAUAGAUGGAUGAGAGUGAAAGCUUCAGUGACAGGUUUGUUCCACUGUGGUGGUGAUAGACAAAUGAGGACAGAGUCAAAAAAACAGUAGCUUGCUUUUCUUUCACUGGCACAGACGUAUGAUGAUAAGGUGCCUCGCAUUCAGCAUGGCCAUUGUAUCCUGUUCAAACGGAGGGACUAUCAAACCACUACCCACUGCUGCUACGUGGGAGUUGAAACAAAUGCACCCUUUGGGCUGGAGCUAGCAGACAGACCGUAAACACUGCAGGAGCUGCUUUCAUGGGACAGAGCAUGAAUCAGAGUUCAGUGGAAAGAUAUGACAUCUUAACUGAGAAGAGUAACCUGCUAAUGAAAGACCAAAAAGGGACUAAGAGCUCUGAAGUGACUGAAGCUAUUAAACUGUUGAGCUAUUUUUACACAGCACUGUUUUAACUGUUCGAUUGAUUAGCUUUGAUGCUGCUCUAAAGCAGCUGAGAGACCUUUUAAUACACGGACAUACACCAUAUAACAACUGUUACUGUAUUAAUAUAUUGUUUUCAUCAGUAGUGUUUGUAGACACAUAACAACAGCUAGUCUGAGAUACGUUUGAAUCAGUUCACCUUCUUGGUUUAAUGUUACAGGUUUUAAAUAUGAACAUCUUUUUAAGAAUAUUCUAAAAUGUUUAUAUUAAAAUCUAAUCAGGUGUUCUUCAGGUGGAGCAGAUCUGUUUUGAAGUCGUCUAAACUCUGACACAGCAGCUGUGAAGUCUCUGUGAGCGUCCAUGUUUCUACAACUUCUCAACUGGAACGACGUCAGAGGAGACGUCUCUCCCAGUUCAGACCUCUGAUGGAAAUUGAAUGCAGCAUUACCCUGACUCUGUGUCAGCUUGUUGUGGUUCGAUGGUGUGAAUUCAUCAAAGUUGAACUGGUUCAUACAGCAAAUUCACUGUUUGCUGCAGCUUCCUUAUGAUGAUUUGACGUGCUUUAGCAGUUCUGCCAACAUGCUAACAUGCUAAGAGUCAAGUAGGGCUGUUCGAUGUGCCAAAAAUAUUAUCUCAAUAAAAUGUCUCAGUCGUAUUUCUUUCAAGUUUAAAGGCUGACCUCUGUUCCUGCAAU